Molecule: microRNA precursor, 89 nt
Organism: Bison bison bison
Lineage: Eukaryota; Metazoa; Chordata; Mammalia; Artiodactyla; Bovidae
Product: microRNA 130a
Source: Ensembl
UGCUGCGGGCCGGAGCUCUUUUCACAUUGUGCUACUGUCUGCGCCUGUCACUAGCAGUGCAAUGUUAAAAGGGCAUUGGCUGUGCAGCG